UGGGGAAUUGUUCGCAAUGGGCGCAAGCCUGACGACGCAACGCCGCGUGGAGGAUGAAGACCUUCGGGUCGUAAACUCCUUUCGAUCGAGACGAACGGCCUCCGGGUUAACACCCUGGAGGAGUGACGGUACCGAGAGAAGAAGCCCCGGCUAACUCCGUGCCAGCAGCCGCGGUAAUACGGGGGGGGCAAGCGUUGUUCGGAAUUACUGGGCGUAAAGGGCUCGUAGGCGGCCAACUAAGUCAGACGUGAAAUCCCUCGGCUUAACCGGGGAACUGCAUCUGAUACUGGAUGGCUUGAGUUUGGGAGAGGGAUGCGGAAUUCCAGGUGUAGCGGUGAAAUGCGUAGAUAUCUGGAGGAACACCGGUGGCGAAGGCGGCAUCCUGGACCAACACUGACGCUGAUGAGCGAAAGCCAGGGGAGCAAACGGGAUUAGAUACCCCGGUAGUCC
This 450-nucleotide ribosomal RNA is filed under the name uncultured bacterium. RNAcentral describes it as "bacterial SSU rRNA". It matches the Rfam family "Bacterial small subunit ribosomal RNA", at positions 355 to 796 of the family's 1533-position model. The record is from RNAcentral.